GCCAAGACAAAAAUUACCAAUUUCUCUCAAUUAAGCUGGGAAAAGUUCAUUACUUGUACAAAAAAUGGCUAGAAUUGAGAGAAUAUAUAGGCACUGCAUUGAGUUGGGAGAUGAUAAUAUACCACCUUUACCAGAGAAUGGGGGGUAUCAUCGUGAGUGUUAUUAACGCUAUACGUGCAAAAGUAAGAUAGAGCGCCAGGAAAAACGGAAACGCGAUGAACACACCAGUUCGAUCAAUUCUGUUGAGGCUGACGUAUCAAACAGCGGGCAUGAAACUGAUGACGAAGAAGACACUAGACCAAGGAUGUUACUCCGGUCAUCAAGACAAGAUGCUACUCCAGGAGUCCAGAGAACAUCUCACGUGCUUCCUCGCCAGUGCAUCCUAUGUCGAAAAAAAAAAAACACAAGCGAGACCGUGUUACAAAAAAGUCGUGUGAAGAACGGUUGUCCCAGUGUGAAACCUUACAAGCUGGAUGCUUAAUAAAAGGUGCAAAACAAAAGAAAGAUGAGGUUUUGCUCCUGCAUUUACAAAAUGUGGACCCUGUUGAUGCAGAAGUAUGCUAUCACCAUAGUUGCUACGUUACGUACACUCGAUUUUUACGUGCUACAGAGAGUCGAGGACCUGUUGAUACGAAGUAUACGAAAUCAUUCAAAACGUUAUGCAGUGACUUUGUUAUACCAAGAAUCGUUGUCAAUAAAGAAGUGUUACGACUGACAACUCUGACUGAAGUAUUCGGAGGCUUCGUUAAAAGCACAGAGAAUAUGGACGCGUCAAGCUACCGCACGUCAAAUCUCAAAAAACGUCUCAAAGCAGAACACCCUGAAAUAGUAUUUCUUAAAGCUUUAAAGUGUACUCAAAGUGAACUGGUAUUUGUUGAAUCAUUGAGUGCCCAUGACAUUGUGGAAGAGAAAGUAAACCUGCAGGAAGAGAUGUUGCCUGGUACUGAGACUGAGACUGAGAGAGAAACUGAGACAGAGGAAGAUACUGUUGAUAUUGCUGCUAGCCGUUCAUUUUUGGAGCCAAAUACUCGAGACAUUUUUGCAACUGCUAUGCAUCUUCGUGACACUAUUGCUAACACUCCAGCCACUUUUGAACAGUGGCCGAGGACUUGAACUUGAUUUAACAGUUGGCCAUGGAGAUCAAUGCCAUCAGUUACAAUUUCAUGGAAAUGAGACAGUACCAAUGAUGACACCAGUGGACGAGUUGUUUUGCUCACAUGAGGAGGCAGGCACUCGCUUGUUGCACCAUGCAUUGUUCGCCACUAGAACUACCGGUACCAAAGAUAUUGUAAUUCAGUCUCCUGACACCGAUGUGCUUGUUUUGGCCGUUUCAAAAAGCAAGGAUCUGAACUGUAAGCUACUCUUUGAAACGGGAACUGGUAAUGCUUGCCGAGUGUUGGAUGUUGUGGCUAUUCACGAGCACCUUUCAGGCAUACACACCUCCAUCCCAGAGGCGCUGAUAGGGUUCCAUACAUUCACAGGUUGUGACAGCGUCAGUGCUUUCUUCGGAAAGGGAAAGCUGAAGCGUUUUAAGCUCUUAAUCGCAGAAACAAAGUUCACAGAGCUGUUUGUGGGCAUCGGUGCUUCGUUUGAGUUGCCACUUUCGGACCGCAUUGAGGAACUAGCUGAAUAGUUUGUUUCAUCUAUGUAUGGCAUAGUGUCGACAAAAAUCAACUGAACGAGGGUCAAACUCUUUAAAACUGGCAAACACAUGGACGACACCCUCCCUCCUAAUCUUGACUCCUUGCUCAAACAUCUCUUGAGGGCCAACUAUCAAGCUGGCAUUCAUCGGCGCUGCCUGGAGUCAAACCCUGAUGUACCAAGUCCUGAUAGUCAUGGAUGGAGGGUUGAAGAUAAAAAUCUCAAAAUCAAGUGGAUGGAUCUCCUCCCUGCACCUGACUCUAUUCUUGAGUUAAAUAACUGUAAAUGCAAGAUGAAACGGCCAGGGGCCAUUGUGCUCACCGUAAGUAUUUUUAGUAGACAGUUACAGAAAGUGCUACAGUAUGUAGGCCUCUC
Molecule: long non-coding RNA, 2016 nt
Organism: Lineus longissimus
Lineage: Eukaryota; Metazoa; Nemertea; Pilidiophora; Heteronemertea; Lineidae
Exons: 4
Source: RefSeq, a predicted model, not a curated record